AAUGGGCGCAAGCCUGAUCCAGCCAUGCCGCGUGUCUGAAGAAGGCCUUCGGGUUGUAAAGGACUUUUGUCAGGGAGCAAAACUUACUGGUUAAUACCUGGUGAGGUUGAGAGUACCUGAAGAAUAAGCACCGGCUAACUACGUGCCAGCAGCCGCGGUAAUACGUAGGGUGCAAGCGUUAAUCGGAAUUACUGGGCGUAAAGCGUGCGCAGGCGGACUUUUAAGCCAGAUGUGAAAGCCCCGAGCUUAACUUGGGAAUUGCGUUUGGAACUGGGAGUCUAGAGUCUGUCAGAGGGGGAUGGAAUUCCACGUGUAGCAGUGAAAUGCGUAGAGAUGUGGAGGAACACCGAUGGCGAAGGCAGUCCCCUGGGAUAAGACUGACGCUCAUGCACGAAAGCGUGGGGAGCAAA
RNAcentral lists this ribosomal RNA (410 nucleotides) under uncultured bacterium. RNAcentral describes it as "bacterial SSU rRNA". It matches the Rfam family "Bacterial small subunit ribosomal RNA", at positions 370 to 772 of the family's 1533-position model. The record is from RNAcentral.